Long non-coding RNA from Corapipo altera (White-ruffed manakin), 1330 nucleotides. RefSeq lists it as uncharacterized. The transcript has 6 exons. NCBI's taxonomy places the organism in Eukaryota, Metazoa, Chordata, Aves, Passeriformes, Pipridae. The record is from RefSeq and is a predicted model, not a curated record.
GCUGCUGCUGCCCUCAACCACAGCCACCACGUCUGGCCUCAGCACCCCCAAAUUCCGUGCCUGCUGCCCCUGCCCUGUGCCUCCUCUUUGCCCCCAGAAGCCUAAAUCUGGUGGUGUAAACAUGAGGUGGAAAGCUGAGGCUGUGAGUGGUCAUAGCCCCAGCAGUCAGGCCGGUUUAGGCAGUGAGUGACCCUCAGGGCUGUGGAGCUGCUUGGAAGGUUUCUGCCAUGCCUGAGGCAGAGUCGUGCCUGACCCAUCUCCAUAGUCGGGAGGAGGUUUCCACAUCUCCUUCUGAGUGCAUGCAAGGCUGGAAGUUCAGCAGGACCGGAACGUUUGUAAACAAGUGAAUAAGGAUUGCAGUGGGCACUCCAAGGGGAGUGUGGAGUGCACCCUAAAACUGCCCUUCGACAGAGAACGUUGUUUCUUUGUGCCAUCUGCAGAAGAUGGCCCCGGAGCUGUGCUGGAUCCGUGUCAGCUCAGCACACGAGGGCUGACUGAGCAUGACACCCCUAACACGGGCAAUUCCAAGGAUGCCUGGCAAACCAGCCGUGUUCUCCAGGCCGUGAAUUGAGAACAUCCACGACAUCACCAAUUUUCCAAUCUGAUGAAAAUGCCAGUGAUGCACCUCCCUCAGUGUUCCAUCUUCGGGGUGUUACAUACUCCCAGUCCUGGGAAGGUUCUCAGGAAAAGAGCAGGUGUGCUCAACACACAUGAUGAUACUCAGAACAACUUGCUUGCCUUACUGCUGCGCCCUUUUCCAGAAUCUUCUGUUGAUCCCAGGCCUCUGGGAAAGCUGCAUAUUGAAAACCAGUUGGGUGUAAAAAGCUGCUGCAGUCAGGGCAGAGAUUCAGAUCGAAAUGGUGCCACCUGGGACAUGGCAACAAAGAGCAAGUACUGCUGCAUCAACACAGAGCAGCUCCAAGUGUGUUUUUCACAGACUCUGUGUCCACCUUUGCUGAAUAUUUGGAGACAGAAAGCAGCUUUACACAGGUAAUGCAUUGCUCCAAGUCCAGCUGUCCAGAGAACAGAAAGAGAAGAAAGCCCAUAAAGAAAACACCCACCUGUACUGUUUAUUUUAAUCUUCAUUGUGUUAUGGCUUUAAGGCAUGAGAAGUCAGUGCCUUUGCAGAGCUAAGGAGGAGCACUGGUUGGUGAAACAUCUGGAGCCCUGUGCUGCAUCUUGCUGCAGAAAGGUGUGCUGGGACAGUUCACUGAACAUCUGCCUGGGAGCAGUCGUUUCUGCCUUCUGCUGGCACUGCAGCUCUUGCUGUGCUCUGACUCUGCUGCAAGGUCACACUGGGGGGGUGGCUCUGGGGUACAGCUCUGUGCAU